CCUACGGGAGGCAGCAGUGAGGAAUAUUGGUCAAUGGACGAGAGUCUGAACCAGCCAAGUAGCGUGAAGGAUGACUGCCCUAUGGGUUGUAAACUUCUUUUAUAUGGGAAUAAAAUGUUCCACGUGUGGGAUUUUGUAUGUACCAUAUGAAUAAGGAUCGGCUAACUCCGUGCCAGCAGCCGCGGUAAUACGGAGGAUCCGAGCGUUAUCCGGAUUUAUUGGGUUUAAAGGGAGCGUAGGUGGAUUGUUAAGUCAGUUGUGAAAGUUUGCGGCUCAACCGUAAAAUUGCAGUUGAAACUGGCAGUCUUGAGUACAGUAGAGGUGGGCGGAAUUCGUGGUGUAGCGGUGAAAUGCUUAGAUAUCACGAAGAACCCCGAUUGCGAAGGCAGUUCACUGGACUGUAACUGACACUGAGGCUCGAAAGUGUGGGUAUCAAACAGGAUUAGAUACCCUUGUAGUC
Molecule: ribosomal RNA, 460 nt
Filed under: uncultured bacterium
Lineage: Bacteria
Description: partial 16S ribosomal RNA
Rfam family: Bacterial small subunit ribosomal RNA
Source: RNAcentral